CGACGCCGAACAAGCGAUCGCUGGCCACUCGGCGCAAGCCGAGCGGCGGGAGGAAAGUCCGAGCACCGUAGAGCGAGAUGCCGGGUAACGCCCGGUGGCGGAAACGCCGAGGACAGUGCCACAGAAAAGAAGACCGCCUCUCUCCGAGCCGCUUGCGGCAAGGCGCGAGGUAAGGGUGAAAAGGCGGGGUAAGAGCCCACCGCGGAGUCGGUAACGGCUCCGGCACGGCAAACCCCAUCUGGUGCAAGGCCACAUAGGCAGGCGCGCCUCCGCAAGGGGGCGAAGGGUUGCUCGCCCAAGUCUGCGGGUAGGCUGCUCGAGGUGUCCGGCAACGGCCACCCUAGAGGAAUGACCGCUCUCGCCAACGGGGCGACCCUAGGUGAGACAGAACUCGGCUUAUGGAUGACGUCGACCA
RNAcentral lists this RNase P RNA (415 nucleotides) under Myxococcales bacterium. RNAcentral describes it as "RNase P RNA component class A". It matches the Rfam family "Bacterial RNase P class A". From Rfam's summary of the family: Ribonuclease P (RNase P) is a ubiquitous endoribonuclease, found in archaea, bacteria and eukarya as well as chloroplasts and mitochondria. Its best characterised activity is the generation of mature 5'-ends of tRNAs by cleaving the 5'-leader elements of precursor-tRNAs. Cellular RNase Ps are ribonucleoproteins. The record is from RNAcentral. Lineage: Bacteria; Pseudomonadati; Myxococcota; Myxococcia; Myxococcales.